UACAGCAGGGUUGUUAAAGUUAUUCUUUUUCUUUACUAUCUCUUUACGAAUUUUUUCCUCUGAUUUUUUGGUCGAUUAAUAAAUGUUUUUUGACCUCUCCUCUGGAGAUGCAAAAAGCUUGUAAAUAUAUCGAGGAAGGUGAUGGAAGAAGAGUGGGGCCACGGCGAGCUGGAGGCUGAGGAGAAACGCUGAUGAGGGAGCCAAGUGCGAGCGAAUGAGGGAACUGAGGAUAACAUUUGAUUAAUGGCAACAGGUAUGCUAAACCAGCACUAGUGCAUGAUAUUGCUGAAGGUUCCGCGAGAUCCAGCUCUCACCAUUCAGGAGUUUGAAACUGCUCCACAGCUCAUAACUGUCUCCUUUUGCAAGCAUCCCCGAUGACAGGGAUCUUCUUGUGGCGGUCCUCUUGCUACCCUCAGCUCCGCUGUGCGUAGUCUAUUCUUUGCUGCUAACCAAAGGAGACUAAUCCUCACCUGGGCAUUGAUUGCAAUGGCAAUGGGACUAAUGACAUGUGUGAACAAAAUGUAUACGAAACCUUAAUCGGAAAGCAGCAGCAGAUCUUGCUUGCGACUCAAGUUGUUAAGAUGAUAUUGAAAAUUGAUGUUAUUUUGCCAUCUGAUUAUUAAUCAUCAGGUUUAAACUAGUUUCCCACGUUCAGAUUCCGAGUAAUAUGUUGGGUUUA
Molecule: long non-coding RNA, 679 nt
Organism: Prosopis cineraria
Lineage: Eukaryota; Viridiplantae; Streptophyta; Magnoliopsida; Fabales; Fabaceae
Exons: 4
Source: RefSeq, a predicted model, not a curated record